RNAcentral lists this ribosomal RNA (400 nucleotides) under uncultured bacterium. RNAcentral describes it as "bacterial SSU rRNA". It matches the Rfam family "Bacterial small subunit ribosomal RNA", at positions 490 to 890 of the family's 1533-position model. The record is from RNAcentral.
GCCCCGGCUAACUACGUGCCAGCAGCCGCGGUAAUACGUAGGGGGCAAGCGUUAUCCGGAUUCAUUGGGCGUAAAGAGCGCGUAGGCGGCUUGUUAAGCGAGAUGUGAAAUCCGGGGGCUCAACCCGCGGCUUGCAUCUCGAACUGGCAGGCUUGAGUCUGGUAGAGGAGUGUGGAAUUCCCAGUGUAGCGGUGAAAUGCGCAGAUAUUGGGAGGAACACCAGUGGCGAAGGCGGCACUCUGGGCCACGACUGACGCUGAGGCGCGAAAGCUAGGGGAGCGAACAGGAUUAGAUACCCUGGUAGUCCUAGCCGUAAACGAUGGGCACUAGGUGUGGGGGUUUUACUCCCUCCGUGCCGCAGCUAACGCAUUAAGUGCCCCGCCUGGGGAGUACGGCCGCA